Molecule: microRNA, 23 nt
Filed under: Populus tomentosa
Lineage: Eukaryota; Viridiplantae; Streptophyta; Magnoliopsida; Malpighiales; Salicaceae
Description: miR257
Source: RNAcentral
AGAGGAGCUCCAAGUAUGAGAAA